ACGCUCGACACCUACGGGAGACAGCAGUGAGGAAUAUUGGUCAAUGGGCGCUAGCCUGAACCAGCCAAGUAGCGUGAAGGAUGAAGGCUCUAUGGGUCGUAAACUUCUUUUAUAUAAGAAUAAAGUGCAGUAUGUAUACUGUUUUGUAUGUAUUAUAUGAAUAAGGAUCGGCUAACUCCGUGCCAGCAGCCGCGGUAAUCUGAGCGGGCUGGCAAGGC
RNAcentral lists this ribosomal RNA (218 nucleotides) under uncultured bacterium. Its description in RNAcentral is "partial 16S ribosomal RNA". It matches the Rfam family "Bacterial small subunit ribosomal RNA", at positions 328 to 539 of the family's 1533-position model. The record is from RNAcentral.